RNAcentral lists this long non-coding RNA (571 nucleotides) under Chrysemys picta bellii (western painted turtle). RNAcentral's name for it is "lncRNA (ENSCPBG00000015058.1)". Lineage: Eukaryota; Metazoa; Chordata; Testudines; Emydidae. The record is from RNAcentral.
CGAGUGACCAGGGAGGUUGAAGUGUUCGCCGACUAGUUUUUGAAUGUUAUAAUUCUUGAAGUCUGAUUUCUGUCCAUUUAUUCUUUUGCAUAGAGACUGUCCGGUUUGGCCAAUGUACAUGGCAGAGGGGCAUUGCUGGGAAUGACAGCAAUGCUGGGAGUGACAGAAAGGAAUCUUGUUCUUUGCUCUGCAACUUACUGACAACCCUUCUUUUCCAGGUGUCUCUCAUUUGGAGCACGUACUUCCCACAGGAUUCCCAGGUGACUAAAGCCAGCCAGGCAUGCUUUAUGGGAAUGGUAAAACAGAAAGGUCCUGUGUUUUCUACAUAGCAGGCACCAUCUGAAAAAUGGCUGUACAGAGGACCAAUAGAAAAGCUGCUAGCUCUUUUGGUGGAAUUCAAAAAGCAAAGGGAUAAAAUUCUGAAAUGCAAGAAGUUUGAAGUGAAUGUUGAGCUUUCAGAUAAACUUGGCUGAGAGAUAAAUCAAGCAGAAUAACAGCCUAGGAUCGGUGUGUGCAGGGUGGAAGAGGAGGAGAAGAAAUAAAGAUUGCCUACCACAAUGAAGAUUAUGCA